This 160-nucleotide small RNA is filed under the name Rhodopseudomonas palustris HaA2. Its description in RNAcentral is "Bradyrhizobiaceae sRNA BjrC80". It matches the Rfam family "Bradyrhizobiaceae sRNA BjrC80". Lineage: Bacteria; Pseudomonadati; Pseudomonadota; Alphaproteobacteria; Hyphomicrobiales; Nitrobacteraceae. The record is from Rfam by way of RNAcentral.
AGUUGGAGAGUGUCGCCGGCAAUGUCGCCCCCGCUGACGGCGCUUUCCGGGGGACGGGUGAACAGCUCGUCCCCACCUUCUACCUUCCGGCCGGAGUAAGCCCCCCUCCGUCGGAAGGACCAGGCGGGCGGUGGAGUUCCCCCAGCUCCAUCGCCCGCUU